ACUUGAGUAUCUUAAUUUUAAAGUAUAAUAUUGAAGAUAUUAUUAUGGGUUUAUUAACCCCUCAGGUG
This 68-nucleotide transfer RNA is filed under the name Henestaris halophilus. Its description in RNAcentral is "tRNA-Phe". The record is from RNAcentral. Lineage: Eukaryota; Metazoa; Arthropoda; Insecta; Hemiptera; Lygaeidae.